UACGGAGGAUCCAAGCCUUAUCCGGAUUUAUUGGGUUUAAAGGGUGCGUAGGUGGCUUUUUAAGUCAGGGGUGAAAGACGGUAGCUUAACUAUCGCAGUGCCUUUGAUACUGAAGAGCUUGAAUGAACUAGAGGUAGGCGGAAUGUGACAAGUAGCGGUGAAAUGCAUAGAUAUGUCACAGAACACCAAUUGCGAAGGCAGCUUACUAUGGUUUUAUUGACACUGAGGCACGAAAGCGUGGGGAUCAAACAGG
This 253-nucleotide ribosomal RNA is filed under the name uncultured bacterium. RNAcentral's name for it is "partial 16S ribosomal RNA". It matches the Rfam family "Bacterial small subunit ribosomal RNA", at positions 524 to 776 of the family's 1533-position model. The record is from RNAcentral.